CUACAUUGAGUGUAUAUACGAUAUAUACUCAAGGAAAUGGUAAAGUACCAUUUGACCCGAAAUAAUGAAACCUCAUAGCUAAUUGGUAGCUUAAGGUGACUGCAAUCAAAGAGAAUGGUUGACUUUGAAGAAACCAUCUUUGACGUAGUCUUGUUUUUCAAUUAAUUCGAAGAUAGCUAGCGACAACUAAAUGGUGAUUCAAUGUUUGGACAUUAUAUGGGUUUCCGAAACCAUUAUUAAGAUAGUCUUGAUAAUAUAUUUGUCUAAAACUAUGAAUCACAAGACAUAUAAGUUGUAGAGAUCCAACCAUCAUGAAUCUUAGCAAGCUAGUGGGAGCUAUAAGCAUCUUAUGAGAAAAGGAUCAAAUCGUUUGAUUUCUCAUAAAGAUGUAAAUGAAUCUUUUGUUUACUAGGUUUACAAAAGGUUAGUGGGAGUUAAUCAUGUUCCUAAAAUUUAAAUAUAUAUGAUAUAUUAAUUUUGGAAAUGAAAAGAAUACUUCUUCAUUAAGUUAUAACUUUAAAACAUUAUAUGAAGAUAGAAUGUAUAUGGGAGUUAAUCAUGUUCCUAAAAUUUAAAUAUAUAUGAUAUAUUAAUUUUGGAAAUGAAAAGAAAACUUCUUCUUUAAAGUUAUGACUUUGAAACAUUAUAUGAAGAUAGAAUGUAUAUGGGAGAUAUAGUCUAUAUACAU
RNAcentral lists this long non-coding RNA (688 nucleotides) under Malus domestica (apple). Its description in RNAcentral is "long non-coding RNA (MDOM_LNC006832)". Lineage: Eukaryota; Viridiplantae; Streptophyta; Magnoliopsida; Rosales; Rosaceae. The record is from RNAcentral.